GUCAUACUAGCGAAGGAAUUACCCAUCUCUCCCCUCCUAGUUCUAGUCUCAUAUCUCAGCCAGGGAUCAUAUCCCUAAGCUUUGAUGCCAACUGUGACUCCCCCAAAAUAUGUAUACAUCACACAUUCUGAGUCGCCAAAUAUAUGGUACAGAAUACAACUACAACUUAAUUAUACAACUGUCAUGCAAAAUAUGACAAAACAUAAGCUGUAAGUUUUAA
This 220-nucleotide long non-coding RNA is filed under the name Panax ginseng (ginseng). Its description in RNAcentral is "long non-coding RNA (PGIN_LNC009167)". The record is from RNAcentral. Lineage: Eukaryota; Viridiplantae; Streptophyta; Magnoliopsida; Apiales; Araliaceae.